RNAcentral lists this long non-coding RNA (455 nucleotides) under Vigna radiata. RNAcentral describes it as "long non-coding RNA (VRAD_LNC008896)". Lineage: Eukaryota; Viridiplantae; Streptophyta; Magnoliopsida; Fabales; Fabaceae. The record is from RNAcentral.
UUGGUGUCCAACGUCUAAUGUGCAUUCAAAAGUCAGAUUAAAAGUUAUCUUGGACGUAAAAUUAGUUAGAUAACCGACGUCUAGGUGACUAUAACAUCAGUUUCUGGAGCAAGCGACGCCCCAUUUUAUGUUAAAUAAAUCGCAGACUCUUCGCGGCAUUGCAGUUUCUGAUAUCAUCGUCUUCCUCCUCUCCUUUUUCUCUCUUGCGACUCCUCUCCUUUUUCUCUCUUGCGGCAUUGCAUUAUUGUUUCUGAUAACAUCAUCGUCUUCCUCCUCUCCUUUUUCUCUAUUGCAGCAUUGCAUCCCAAGUGCGUGUUUUUUUAUGGUUACCAUUUAAACUUUGUUCAGUCUUUCAUCGACUAUCUUUUGGUUUAACUGAUUAAAAUUUGUUUUCUUUGUAUUGUGUUUUAGUGCAGUUUUGUUCCUUUCUUGGGUAACGUAGUACCACAUUCUCC